Molecule: long non-coding RNA, 1293 nt
Organism: Vicugna pacos (alpaca)
Lineage: Eukaryota; Metazoa; Chordata; Mammalia; Artiodactyla; Camelidae
Source: RefSeq, a predicted model, not a curated record
ACAGCUGAGGAAGAAUUUAUUCAGAUUAUGAAGUUUAUGCUUAUUUUAUCUUUUUCUCCAUGUCUUUGUUAGGGGAAGGAUGGGUUGACAAAAGACCCCAUGGACGAGCAAGUGCAUUGUGAUGCUUUCAAGAUGACAUGAUCAAUAACACAACUGGAGGCUAAAGCCACCACCAAAUGGAAGAAAUUCACUAUUUGAUGAUCUUAAGAACAGCCCCCGGACCUCUGGUACUUAAAGAUUGAUCACUAUCAACCAAUCAGAGAAUUGUGCGCAGCUGAUCCCAAUCCUGGGCUGCCCCUCCCUCACCGAGCCUUUAAAAAGGCUCAGCUGAAACCUUUAAAGGAGUUCAGGGUUUCCGGGGCAUGCGCCAUCCUCUCUCCUUGCUUGGCCCAGCAGUAAAUAUUUCUUUGCUCCAAACUCAAGCGUUUUGGUAUUUUUUAGGCCUCACUGUGUGUUAGGCACACAAACUUGCAUUCAGUAACAAUUUUGCUGAAGGCAGCCUAGGGGUCUGAGCCCGCGGCAGUUCAACCCUGGCCAGAGGCAGCAGCCCCUUCCCUGGGUCCCAGCAACCGCAAGAGCUCAGUUCAUUCCAGGGAACUGGGAAAGACUCGCCCGGGCAGGCGCCGGCUGCCCCACGUACGAGGCUGUUUGGAACCAAGAAACUUCCAGCGCUACUGAGGGACCACGUUCCGAGUCACUGCGAGCUGAACUGCCUCUGAGGAGCAAAGAGAAGCUUACGUAUCCUAUGAGAAAUGCUAUUCCCGUGUAAGUGACAAUAAUGAGCAAGGAGGCGGCACAGGGGACUGAACUGAGGGGAAAAAACCCUUACAACUUCUGACUGUGUGGCUAUUGAGUCAACAUCCACAUUAGAAAGCUCAUGCCCUGCUGGGUGUGCUUUGUGAUUCCUGGUACGUGGGACAGAACAGGAAGCUACAUCUGAUGCGGCUAGCAUCGGAGCCAGGGUCUGAAGGAGGAAAACAUUUGGCAGGAGAAGCUGCUGAAGCCCAAAAGGUCAAAAUCAAAACUGGAGCUGAAGGUGAACGGAACACAGGAAGGACAAGUACAGCUGAGAAGGAGGUCAGACCAAGAAAUCAAGCCGCAGAUAUUUACAGCUUGUCUAUAGCACGCCCUUUGCCACCUAUGAAAAAUACACAAGGUGCCAUUCCUGCUAGCAAAGGGGACAGUGGGGGGGAGGCGCGGGAGGGAUGUAAGAAAUUUUUAAUAUUAAAAAAUAACUAAGAAUACUGAGAUCCUCAAUGAUGAAUGCCAAAUAAAGGAGGGCAUAAAUAUAGG